RNAcentral lists this ribosomal RNA (329 nucleotides) under uncultured bacterium. RNAcentral's name for it is "bacterial SSU rRNA". It matches the Rfam family "Bacterial small subunit ribosomal RNA", at positions 28 to 334 of the family's 1533-position model. The record is from RNAcentral.
GAUGAACGCUGGCGGCGUGCCUAACACAUGCAAGUCGAGCGAAGCGCCUUACUUGAUUUCUUCGGGAUGAAAGUAUUGUGACUGAGCGGGCGUACGGGUCGAAGGUACGCGUAGGUAGUAACCUGCCUCAUACAGGGGGAUAACAGUUAGAAAUGACUGCUAAUACCGCAUAAGACCACAGCACCGCAUGGUGCAGGGGUAAAACUCCGGUGGUAUGAGAUGGAUCCGCGUCUGAUUAGCUAGUUGGUAAGGUAACGGCUUACCAAGGCAACGAUCAGUAGCCGACCUGAGAGGGUGACCGGCCACAUUGGGACUGAGGCACGGCCCAA